GUCUAGGGCCAUGCCACCGUGAACACACCUGAUCUCAGAAGUUAAGCAGGGUUGGGCCUGUCUAGUGCUUGGAUGGGAGACAGCCUGGGGAUACCAGGUGCUUUGAACU
This 109-nucleotide ribosomal RNA is filed under the name Callithrix jacchus (white-tufted-ear marmoset). Lineage: Eukaryota; Metazoa; Chordata; Mammalia; Primates; Cebidae. The record is from RNAcentral.